This 400-nucleotide ribosomal RNA is filed under the name uncultured Gammaproteobacteria bacterium. Its description in RNAcentral is "bacterial SSU rRNA". It matches the Rfam family "Bacterial small subunit ribosomal RNA", at positions 30 to 415 of the family's 1533-position model. The record is from RNAcentral. Lineage: Bacteria; Pseudomonadati; Pseudomonadota; Gammaproteobacteria.
AUUGAACGCUGGCGGUAACUUUUAAACAUGCAAGUCGAGCGGUAACAGACAUAAAGAUUCAGCUUGCUGAAUCCGGUGCUGACGAGCGGCGAACGGGUGAGUAACGCGUAGGAAUCUACCCAGUAGCGGGGGAUAGCCCGAGGAAACUCGGAUUAAUACCGCAUACGCCCUGAGGGGGAAAGGGGGCAGUUUACUGCUCUCACUAUUGGAUGAGCCUGCGUAAGAUUAGCUUGUUGGUGGGGUAAUGGCCUACCAAGGCGACGAUCUUUAGCUGGUCUGAGAGGACGAUCAGCCACAUUGGGACUGAGACACGGCCCAGACAUCUACGGAUGGCAGCAGUUAAGAAUAUUGGACAAUGGGGGCAACCCUGAUCCAGGUAUACCGCGUGUGUGAAGAAGGC